AAUCUUAAAUACACUACUAACUUCAGAAUCAUCUUCAAUUCUUCAUGAAUAUGUUAUAAAGAUAUGUAUGCCUUCAAAUACAACAUGAAUAUUACAUAUGGCAACAUUUUGACUAAUCAUCCAACUGAAGUUUUCUGUAUCUAAUUCUCCUGAUCUGUACAUGAAUUUCCCUCCUCUCCAUUCAUUUAUGAUCUUAUACAGAGGUUUGGAAUUUCCUUCCCUAUGAUUCUAUAAGGACUUCUGUUUUCAGGUCCCAGGCGAAAGCUACUAGGAACGCUUGAGGGGCUGGCUGCACGUGAACUCGAGUUCAGCUCCAUUGAAGUAAUACAGGGAAAGACUUCAAGUGCAGAACGUGGAGAAUGGUGAGAAGUUGCUCCAUAUUCACAGGUUUCAGGUUGAGUUUGCCGGCAAGUUUCACUGCUACAUGGUGAUUUUGCUUGCCUGCCAGAUGUUCCUGGUAACAGUGGUUUUUGUUCCUUUUUGGGGUUGAUUGGGUUCUUAGGACUCAGGGUAUCAUGGAAUUUCUUCCCCGGAGAAUCCUCUGAGCAACCAGCAACAUUGAUACUAUGCUCAAGGGAACUAGUACUACGUAAAAAAGCAUGUUCAAGUAGCAUCAUAGCUGAUGGCCUAUCUGCAGGUUUCCUCCGAAAGCAGCACUGAAGGAAAUCCUUUCCUUCUGAUGAUAAUUUUUCUGGUAUAGGUGGUGAUUUGUUCAAGACACCGAACAUUGCUUGCACCCAACUAAGUUCGCCCCAAGGGGGCUGUCCAGUAAACAUCUCAAUAACAGUACAGCCCAGGCUCCAUAUAUCAACAGCUAAGGCAAGCUCUGGAUUGGCAUCUUUGCGCAAAACAGCCUGCAUUACCUCUGGAGCCAUCCAGUGAGGGCUCCCUUUCAGAGAAAGAUCAGUCGCACAGCUUGAAAGAUGUUUUGCUAACCCAAAAUCUGCAAGCUUG
This 954-nucleotide unclassified non-coding RNA is filed under the name Hevea brasiliensis (rubber tree). Lineage: Eukaryota; Viridiplantae; Streptophyta; Magnoliopsida; Malpighiales; Euphorbiaceae. The record is from RNAcentral.